This 764-nucleotide ribosomal RNA is filed under the name Microbacterium arborescens. RNAcentral's name for it is "bacterial SSU rRNA". It matches the Rfam family "Bacterial small subunit ribosomal RNA", at positions 77 to 853 of the family's 1533-position model. The record is from RNAcentral. Lineage: Bacteria; Bacillati; Actinomycetota; Actinomycetes; Micrococcales; Microbacteriaceae.
AGCUUGCUCUGUGGAUCAGUGGCGAACGGGUGAGUAACACGUGAGCAAUCUGCCCCUGACUCUGGGAUAAGCGCUGGAAACGGCGUCUAAUACCGGAUACGAGCUGCGACCGCAUGGUCAGUAGCUGGAAAGAAUUUCGGUCAGGGAUGAGCUCGCGGCCUAUCAGCUUGUUGGUGAGGUAAUGGCUCACCAAGGCGUCGACGGGUAGCCGGCCUGAGAGGGUGACCGGCCACACUGGGACUGAGACACGGCCCAGACUCCUACGGGAGGCAGCAGUGGGGAAUAUUGCACAAUGGGCGCAAGCCUGAUGCAGCAACGCCGCGUGAGGGAUGACGGCCUUCGGGUUGUAAACCUCUUUUAGCAGGGAAGAAGCGAAAGUGACGGUACCUGCAGAAAAAGCGCCGGCUAACUACGUGCCAGCAGCCGCGGUAAUACGUAGGGCGCAAGCGUUAUCCGGAAUUAUUGGGCGUAAAGAGCUCGUAGGCGGUCUGUCGCGUCUGCUGUGAAAACCCGAGGCUCAACCUCGGGCCUGCAGUGGGUACGGGCAGACUAGAGUGCGGUAGGGGAGAUUGGAAUUCCUGGUGUAGCGGUGGAAUGCGCAGAUAUCAGGAGGAACACCGAUGGCGAAGGCAGAUCUCUGGGCCGUAACUGACGCUGAGGAGCGAAAGGGUGGGGAGCAAACAGGCUUAGAUACCCUGGUAGUCCACCCCGUAAACGUUGGGAACUAGUUGUGGGGUCCAUUCCACGGAUUCCGUGACGCAGCU